This 1126-nucleotide long non-coding RNA is filed under the name Vulpes vulpes (red fox). Its description in RNAcentral is "lncRNA (ENSVVUG00000027246.1)". The record is from RNAcentral. Lineage: Eukaryota; Metazoa; Chordata; Mammalia; Carnivora; Canidae.
AUGGGUUCAGAGGAUAACCCUGGGCAGAGCCUUGGCCACAACACGGCUCUGACCCCUGGACAGUUGGAAAGAAACCAGAGGGCAGGGGGUCCUGCAUGGGCAGCAAAGUCCACCUGCUCUGCCCACGUCCUCAGGGCUUCCUGCAGAGUGAAGGUCCCCAGGGCCGGACUGAUCCUCACAGCUGGGCGACAGGUCUCCUUGGAUGGGCCCCUCUGCAGGCGCCAUGCCGUGCACAGGAGGGGACCCCAGCCUGAGCUCAUGCGCCCCUCCGUGGCAAGACUCCCGCCCUUGGUGCGCAUCCACGGUGAAAACCUCACGGCCAGGUACCGGAGAGGCUCCUGGGCUUAUUUCAUCUUCGCGAAUUCUGGGUGCUAUAGCCAUCUAUUCCUUUGUUUUGGCCACACUUAUGGAGUGCCCGUGUGUGCCUUCCAGGACCCUGCAGACCGGAGGCCUGCACCUGCCGUUUGGAGUCGGAUGGGGCGAGACACUAUGGGGCGCACUGCCAAGGAGAAGUUCUAUAGAGGGGACGGUACAAGGAAGACACAGGAAGUUGGGGAGCACUUUUGGUUGCUGCUUCUCUCCCGAGCUGUCCCUUGUUUGUCUGAGAGCGUACUUUUCCUUCCUGUCCACAGCCGCUGGAACCUACAGUCAGGUGACUCCAGUGCCUGCCUGCUUGGCAUGGGCUUGUCCCCCAUGUGUUUGCUGGUUUGGGACGGUAUCCAGGAUGCCAUGAAUGGUGUGAUUUAGAUUCUGGAUCCUGACUUGUUCCUCUGGAGAGUUUUUGGUGGCCAGGUGUCCUUGGCUGGGCUCAGACUUUGAGCAUGGUGUGUUUGCUAGGACAAGGAUGUCCCUUCCUUCCCCCUGAGGCUUGCUGGCUGCACGGUCUGUCUCGGGCGUGCAGAGAUGUGUCCCAGGCAUGCGUGCGGGCUCGGAGCUCACCCUCCUUCCCAGGAUGCCCCAUCCUUGUUCAGAGCUCAGGCUAUCUCUAGCUUUGUUCUCCGGUUCUUUAAACUAGGAGCAUCGGGAGGUUUCCGUCCAAGCCUUAGCCACCGGCCUCUCCUGAGUGGGGCUGUGCUCAUCGGGAAGCUGUUAAAAUUAAAAAAAAAAAAAAAAAAAAAAAAAAAAA